RNAcentral lists this long non-coding RNA (679 nucleotides) under Struthio camelus australis. RNAcentral describes it as "lncRNA (ENSSCUG00000014936.1)". The record is from RNAcentral. Lineage: Eukaryota; Metazoa; Chordata; Aves; Struthioniformes; Struthionidae.
CAAUUACAAGCAAGUGUCCUAUAAUGUCUUUAUAGCUCAGUUUCUGCACAAAGGCGCAUAAAGUGAGCACGGAAUGAUACUGCUUCAACAUUUGGCUGCUGAUACUUGGUUCCAGCCAGAGAUGUGCAAAAUGCUUGUAAUGAAGCUGCAAACCAUGUGAAAACAGAGUGAUGAGAUCGUGGAUGUAGCAGAGGAGGGCUCCUGCUUCAAGCAGAAAAGGAGGAGCAGACAGCAUCCUUCUGAUUUACCGACAGGCUCUCAAGGGGACAAACCCGUUGGCAUGCUUAGCCCCCUUUGGUAUCUUCGCUUUCAUCAGGAGAGUUCCAGAAAGCAGCUCUGGGAGCGGGUCGUGAGAGGAUAAUCUGUAUGAUCCCACGCAAGGCAAGGAGACAAACAGCUUUGCUCCAGAAGGGAUGUUGGGAGGAUGUCAGUUUUCUAGGCACUGAUCAUAUGGAAAGUAAAUAUUUGAAACAGAAGAUUAAAAUGCUCGAAGAAGAAACCAUUGGAACAAAGGAUUGUUGGCUACCAAGCAACCUUGUUGCAAGUGAGAGCAUACAGGAAGGCUAUUUGCUCCGUGCCCGCUUUUCCUGUGGGGGAAUGCGUUCGCCUUUCCCAGCUCUCUGAGCAGAACCUUAAUCCAGGUUCCAUGCACCAUGUUUAGCUUACAGCGAUAUUAAAU